This is a long non-coding RNA of Mesocricetus auratus (golden hamster), 1165 nucleotides long. RefSeq lists it as uncharacterized. NCBI's taxonomy places the organism in Eukaryota, Metazoa, Chordata, Mammalia, Rodentia, Cricetidae. The transcript has 2 exons. The record is from RefSeq and is a predicted model, not a curated record.
CUGAGGUCAGCAUGCUGUGAGAAAGUCAUGUGGAAGGGCCGUGUGUAAGCACCUCACCCACUAGCAACACCAGCUGAGCCUGGCUUCAAACUCAGAGGCUUAUGUUUGAGCAAAAGCCUCCAGAUAAUCUUAACCCCGGUCACCAUGCCAGGUUAGCCUCCCCAGCUGAUGCUUCAGGCACAUGGGACAGAGUCCAGUCACGUACACAGGAGUCCACGAGCAGUAACAGUUGACCUUGUUGUUAUAGGACCAUGCCUCAGGAGUGAUUUGACGCACAGUAGUUGUCUGAGAUGCUAAGACAUCUAAACUUUGGACGUCGGUUGCCUUUUCUGUCUUUCCACUUAGAUGUGUAAUAAUCACGUUACUUAAGAUAGCCUAGACAGAUGUUUUGAAUGAUUCCCUGAUGUAACUCCUGCAUUUCUUUGAGUCAUUUCCAUCUUAGCAAAUUGCAACACCACUCAUUCAUUCCUUUCCUGACUCAAAGCCUCGGAGUCAUCUCGUGCAUCAAUUCCUCUCUCGUCUCCAACAUACUGCUACUACCAAACAGCUUUCAUCUGCCUAUGUGCUCCCUGCACGAUGCCAAGAUCCCCCUCUGAGCUUUUCUGCAUCUCCCCAUUGAGCCCUGAGAACUUUCUAGUUGGACUCCUUGUUUCCCUCUACACUCUGUUCCCCACAAGGGGCUUCAGAGGGCGAGGGGAGUUGGUGAAAGAAGGAAGCAGAGAUUGACCUUCACGUUUAGGCACAAGGAGGGAUUCAAGCAAAUGAGAUUCAAAGAGAUGAGCAGAAAGUUGGGAUCGGUUUUCAGAGCCUCGGCAAAGGCGUAUGUGGAUGCUGAGAGAGACAGGACAGUUUCACCGAGCGUGGGGAUGUUGGUGUGGUUGCAGGCUGUGCAUUCGGAUGGAGAGGAUGGCUUCAGGAUGAAGGACGAAUUAACUGAGGAGGGGCACCACUGUCCAGUCGGUUUUAGUACGAUUUCCCAAGAAACAAAGAAAUGGAGUACAGAAGACUGAACGCUGUAUUGACUGACACCCAGUAGGGAGUUCCUAAAGAUCCAUGGACCCUUUGGGUUGCUGGACUUGACUUUGCACUUGAGGAUUUCAUGUUGAUGUCAAAUAGUGCAUUCUGAAAUGUCACUUCUGCCUUGUAAGUAUCCGCUAAUUCUCAA